This 410-nucleotide RNase P RNA is filed under the name Rhodoferax sp. RNAcentral describes it as "RNase P RNA component class A". It matches the Rfam family "Bacterial RNase P class A". From Rfam's summary of the family: Ribonuclease P (RNase P) is a ubiquitous endoribonuclease, found in archaea, bacteria and eukarya as well as chloroplasts and mitochondria. Its best characterised activity is the generation of mature 5'-ends of tRNAs by cleaving the 5'-leader elements of precursor-tRNAs. Cellular RNase Ps are ribonucleoproteins. Lineage: Bacteria; Pseudomonadati; Pseudomonadota; Betaproteobacteria; Burkholderiales; Comamonadaceae. RNAcentral also lists the same sequence under 1 other name. The record is from RNAcentral.
GAAGUCGGCCAGACCGCCGCUGGCGCACCAACCCGAAAGGGCGCGCUGGAGGAAGGUCCGGACUGCACAGGGCAGCGUAGCAGCCAACGGCUGUCCACCGCGAGGUGAGGAUCAGAGCAACAGAGACGAGUCGCAUCGGGGCUCCGGGAAACCGGGUGUUCUGCGAGGUUCCGGCGCAAGCCCGAACCGAGCAGCCAUCCGCCCCGGGGCAAAGCCCCGGGGCGGGUGAAACGGGCAAUCUCUACGCGCAGCAACACCAAAUAGGCACACAGCGACCUGGCCCGGGGAGUGUGCGGGUAGGUGGCACCGAGCCGGGUGGGCGACCCCCGGCCCAGAGGAAUGGCGGUCACGGCGGCGCUUCGCAAGAAGUGGCCGCCGCACAGAAUCCGGCCUAUCGGCCGACUUCACAC